Molecule: long non-coding RNA, 7456 nt
Filed under: Homo sapiens (human)
Lineage: Eukaryota; Metazoa; Chordata; Mammalia; Primates; Hominidae
Description: HSALNT0033309
Source: RNAcentral
UGAGCCACUGCGCCCGGCCGGAUAUAAAUAUUGCUAAAGUGAACUUGAAUUAAAAAUGGCCUUUUAAAAUGAGCAAAAAGCCCAGUGCAGUGGCUCAUGCCUAUAAUCCCAGUGACUCUAGAGGCUGAGACUGGAGUAUCUCUUGAGCCCAGAAGUUUGAGGCUGCAGUGAGCCACGAUCGUGCCACUGCAAUUUAGCCUGGGCAACAGAGCCAGACCUCCACUCUAACAAAAAAUUUUUCUUUUGUUUUUGAGACAGGGUCUUACUCUGCUGCCCAGGCUAGAGUGCAGUGGCAUGAUCUUGGCUCACUGCAACCUCCACUUCCCGGGCUCAAGCGAUUCUUAUGCCUCAGCCUCCCAAGUAGUUGGGAUUACAGUGCGUGUCACAACGCCCAGCUAAUUUUUGUAUUUUUUUGUAGAGACAGGGUUUGACCAUGUUGCCCAGACUGGUCUCGAACUCCUGACCUCAACUGAUCUGCCCACCUCGGCCUCCCAAAAGUGCUGGGAUUACAGGUGUGAGCCACCACGCCCAGCCCAAAAAAUUUUUCUAAAAGGGAAAAAAAUAGAAAACACUCCUCUCAAAAUCACAGUCCCUGUCUGGGAUGCAUUUUUCUCAUCUCUAAACUGAGAAGCUUAGAAGAGAUGAAGGCUAAGCUUCAUCCCUUCCACUUCUAAAGGUCUAUGCUUCUAUUGUUUCCAGCAGACCUUUUGAAACCUAGCAGGGAAAAACCAGGCAAGGUCCAACUGCAGCCUCUAAGAGGAACACAGAAGAGCCUCUUAAUUUCUUGGGCUCAGCAACCGUUUUACUUCAGAAUAUUAUUUUAGUCUUCUGGCUACAGAACUGAAUUUCCAACCUGAAUCACAUGGAUCAAUGUCAGAGUGAAUCAGGCAUUCUUAUUCAAAAUAUACAUGUGAACAUAUAUUUUAAAAAUAAAUCUAAAUAAUAUACCAAUAUAAAAAUGUUCCCAGAACAAUUUUUUUUUUUUUUUUUUUUGAGAUGGAGUCUUGCUCUGUCACCAGGCUGGAGUGCAGUGGCACAAUCUCGGCUCCACAUCCCAGGUUCAAGUGAUUCUCCUGCCUCAGCCUCCCGAGUAGCUGGGACUACAGGCCAAUGCCACCAUGCCCAGCUAACUUUUGCAUUUUUUUAGUAGAGACGGGGUUUCACCAUGUUGGCCAGGAUGGUCUCGAUCUCUUGACCUUGUGAUCCACUAGCCUUGGCCUCCCAAAGUGCUGGGAUUACAGGCGUGAGCCACCACGCCUGGCCACAAAAUGAUUUUUAAAAGGGAAGACAGGUAAAUGGAUCGUCAUGCAUGCCUGUAAUCACCAUUUACUUGGAAGGCUGAGACAGGAGAAUCAUUUGAGCCCAGGAGUUCAAGGCUGCAGUGAGCUAUGACUGUGCGACUGCACUGCAGCCUGGGUGACAGAGCAAGACCUUGUCUCUAAAAAAAAAUAAAAAAUAAAAUUUUGUAAAAGGGAUCAUCAGAUAUCUCUGAAUCACAAAUUGCUUUUAUUCCUGGGAAUAAGACAAAACCACCAAACCUCCAAAGACAGCAUUCAAAGAUGCCUUUUGCAAUUUCGAAAGAUCCUUAUUUCUGCCAUGAUGCAGCUAAUAGGAUAUGUACAAGGGCCUUUUUUCUCUUUCUUUCUUUCUUUUGUUUCUUUUCUUUCUUUCUUUCUUUCUUUCUUUCUUUCUUUCUUUCUUUCUUUUCUUUCUUUCUUUUUGUCUUGGAAGAAGAAAGGUCAGUAGUAGAUUAGACUCUAAUGUUUCAAGAGAUUUCUUGGCAUAGAAAUUAUUUUCAAUGCCCAGAAUGAUGGAGGAAUAGAAGAUAAAUGGGAGAGAAAACGGUUUGGAUAUAUUUAGAAAUAAAGAUCUCCUAAAAUAGCAAACACAAAAGGAGAACUAGUGGUACAUUUUGUGUAAUUGUGGAAGAUGUUUAAAGGCUUUGUUGUCUUUCUUCACUUAUGACCAAAUUAUUUUCUAAAUUGUUAAAACUCAAAAUACUUAAUUUAUCCUAUAUGUACUUUACAUGCAUUAAAUUAUUAUGUAAUAAUAAUUUUCUUGAAGAUUCCAUCAGCAACACAGUAACAGUAAAUGCAUGGUGCAAGACCUCAUAUUAUAAAUCAUACUUAAUGUACAGUAUCAAAAAUAAAUUCACAACCUAACAACCAAUCUGAAAUCUAACUUCUCGUUGGAGGAAUGAGAUGUAUUUUAAUUAUAGGUAAUUGAUUAGGUUUAAUAACAAAUUUAGAAAGCUUCCAGUUUGCCAGCAGUCAAAGUUAUAACUGGGGCAUACCAGCAAAAGGUAGCACUGGAAUUAACACAGACUCAAAUGUUAGUUCACCCACAUUCUGCCUACUAUCCCCAUUCUCCUCCUGAACUACACCCCCAUGUGUCUUUUGCAUACAGAGCUCUCUUUGAAGCCAGCAAGUGUUUCAUGCGUGGGAAAUCAGGGGAAUCAAAGCUACCUUAUACAAAAGCAUAUGGUUAGGAGGCCAGGGGAUGCUGAAAAAACACUGCAUACAUACUUACAGUGUCCCUAUGGGGAGCUCAUCUGACUAUGAGACCCUCAAGUUUUGCACUUCUUAUGCCUACGGUGUUUAAAUUGGUGGCCUCAAUUUUAUAACACCAGGGUUUGUUUUCACAUUUAGUUCCCUGGGAUUUUUUUAAACUGACUUUGACAAAAAGGAAAAAAAGAAAAAGAGAGUGCAAAAUAGGAAAAGAAGGCAGGGAGUGGGGAAAGAAUAAAUCAUUAUGCAGCUCUCAGCCUCCACAGGGAAACAGCAGUACAAACCCACAGAUCCAGAAUUGUCAAGCAAUGGGGCUGUUUGUUUACAAGUCACAGAAUCAGUUAUGUAACUAGGGAAGUUAAAGAAACCUAGUGAGUGUGUGAGAGACUGAUUCUUUUGAAAUAGUCAAGAGACUUCAUUUCUGAAAUAGAUUCAUACAGAUGUUCUGUAUUCUUAUUUUUGGUUGCUCUAUAAAUUUAGUUUUUGAGUUUUCCAUGUAGAUAAUGACCCUUUAUUCUUUAUUAUUAUUAUUAGAUACACUAAAACACUUUCUUACCAUGGGAGUUGCUAAAGUAUCAGCAUGUAUUUUUAAGGGAAAUUGAAAUAGCUUUUUAUCUUCUGAUGUAUUAUGUUGGUAAAAAAGUAAUUGCGGUUUUUGCCAUUGAAAGUAAGGGCAAAACCGCAAUUACUUUUGUACCAACCUAAUAGAAUUCUUGUCUGAUUUAGCAGGAAAAAUGUAUUACAUGACCAAUAGAUCAGUUCCAAUUUCUGUCCACCCUUCACUCCGUUACUUCUUCUUUUAAAAAAAAUUGUUUUCACUUUUAUUCUCAAAGGAGGUGAUCUUCUUUUUCUAAUUGAUUUUUUUUUGUUUGCUUGUUUGUUUAAGUUCUGGGACCAUAAAGUGUUUAUAAGAUGCAGACCUUUAAAAAUAUUUCCAUGUAAGCCAGGAACAGUCGCUCACCCUUGUAAUCCGAACAAUUUGGGAGGCUGAGGCAGGAGGAUCACUUGAGGCCAGGAAUUUGAGAUCAGCCUGGGCAACAUAGCAAGACUUCAUCUUUAAAAAUAUAAAAUGUAUUUCCUUGUAAAUACAUUUUGUUGUAGAUCUGAGACAGUGUAAAAAUUUCAACUCUAAAGAAAAAAAUUAGAAAAUCAAAUGAUUUAAAUAAAUCAUCAUAUUGGAUUAUAGUAAAUUUCAUAAAUAAGUUAUUCUCAACAAACACCUUAGAUAAGAAAGUUUUUAUGAUCUGUUUAGUUAAUAUCUGCAUUUAUAUUUAAUACACUUUAAAAAUGUGAUUUUUUUCCUGAAAACUUAGAGCCACAAUUUCAGGGCUAUAUUGGUAAAAAUGGGAAUUGACUCUGAAAGAUUAUAAUUAAUCAACUUCUGAUAGCAAAUUAAACUCAAACUAUUGAGGUUGCAAAGUCAGUAACUUUAUGAGACAUUGUUUUUCUUUCUCAUUCAGCUAACUCAUUCUUCAGUGGGGUCAGUUUGGUGUCAUAUGUUACUCCAUGGGGAAAAACCCUAAGGGGAUUGAUGGAGAAGGAAAAAUCCUAAGGGGAUUGAUGGAGAAGAAUUAUGUUUUUCACCAGGCAGAAAAAAGCCCUGAAUUUGGUCCCUCAGGAAUCUUCUCAGGGUAUUUUCUGCUAGUAGUACCAGAGCCCUAUGGCCCUAUGGUGCCAGAGCUCUAUGCAGUUCCAGGAGGGAACUGCGCCACUGAGACUCAAUACCCAGAAGGCUGCUCAGCUCUUGUUCCUGCUACAAUCGACACUGAGGAUAGGGAUUAAAGCCUCAUUAGUCUUUCGAGGUAUGUGAGGAAUGGCUAUUUUGUUUUUGUUUAAUUAGGGUCUUGGUGUAGAGCAGGACAUUUAGUGGCCUAUGUCCUUCUGUCCAAUUUAAAGGUAGGGCUGAGCUGAUUCACUCUCUAGAGAUGAGUAGUGCAAUGAGCUACAAUUAAACAAAAAUAAUAAGAAGAACCUUUGCUCAGGGAGAAUGUUUCAGUAACUUAUAUGUUCCCGCCAGCAGCAUCAUAAAGCCUCUGCAGUUGGGCGUCUGAUAUUUACUAUCUUAGAACAGUGGUAUGAAUUAGCCAAGGUGUCUCCAUUUAUUUGGUUGUCAGUGAAUGCUAAAUAGAAAUAAAUGAGUCAAAAUUAAAGGAAAAGAUGGAUAUCAACUUGGCAUGAACUCCUCUGAAUUAUUAUUCAAAUUCUUGGGUCCUUCUGGACUUUAAGACCAUAUUUUUUCUAUGAUGGGCAAGAAAGAUGAUUUAUGCAGUUUAUUUAGAGGUAAAUUUUAUGGACAAAAUUUUAUACACAUCUAUACAAUAUGUGAGUUAUAAUCAUUGUUUUAAGAAACAAUGAUAGCAUACAGAGGUGCCUACAAAGUUUUUAUUUAAAGAGUCAGGGUCUCUGUCACCCAGGCUGGAGUGCAGUGGCGUGAUCCUGGCUCACUGCAACCUUGAACUCCUGGGCUCAAUCAAUUCUCCCUCCUCAGUCUCCCAAGUAGCUGGGACUACAUGCACAUGCCAACAUGACCAAUAAAUUGUUUUUUAUUUUUUUCAAGAUGGGGUCUCACUAUGUUGCCCAGGUUCAAUUUUAAAUAUUAUCUUUAUCUUUUUUGCCUGCUGCCCAAAGCCAUAAGAAAAUGUAUCAUUAUUACUUAAAAUGAAAUCAUAGCUGUAAUAAUACUUUACUAAUAAUAUUUUAAUUUCAAUAUGGAGCUUAAACUUUCAAAGCACUCUUAGAUAUGUAGGCCAAUUUAUUCAUUAUUUGAGUUCUUUAGUACACAUAGUACAUUCCUCUGAGAUAUGAAAUGGCAAUGAUAUGUACUCGUCUUAUUACAAAGUGAAGAUGGGAUAGAUUUUAGAUAUUUCAAAAAAUGAGUGUACUUUAUUUCUGUUUGUACAGUAGUCCCCCCCUUAUCCAUGGUUUCACUUUUCAUGGUUUCAAUUGCCCAACAUACAAUACAAUAAGAUAUUUUGAGAGAGAGACCACAUUAACCUUUAUUACAGCCUAUUGCUAUAAUUGUUCUAUUUUGUUAUUGUUAUUGUUAACUUCUUACUAUGCCUAGUUUAUAAAUUAAACUUUAUCAAAAAGUUAUGCAUGUAUAGCAGAAAACAGUAUCUAUAGGGUUCUGUACUAUUUGCCGUUUAGGCGCCCAGUGGGGGUCUUGAAAUAUAUCCCCCACGGGUAAGGGGGAACCACAUACUUCAAUACAAAGUUGAAAAAGCUCUGACCAUAUAGUAUUCAUGUUAAUUUGAUAUUAAAACAUCACUAAAACUCAGUGGACUAAUUCUCAAAAAAAAGGAUAUGUGUAGCUUUUGUUUCUUCAAUAACAAUGUAUAGAAGUGUCUUUUAAGAGUGAUUUUAAACUACUUGUCUUUCAAGAUAACUUUUAACUGAUGACUUGGGGGCACUCAUAAGCUCUCUGGGGAUAAAACUGAGAUUCCAUUAGAAUAUCUUUGUUUAGGUUGUGGACAGGGGCUCUUGCCUGUAAUCCCAGCACUUUGAGAGGCCAAGGCAGGAGAAUCGCUUGAGCCCAGAAGUUCGAGACCAGCCUGGGAAACAUGGUGAGAUCUCUUCUCUUAAAAAAAAAAAGAAAGAAAAGAAAAGAAAAAAAGAAAAAAAAAUUGGUUUAGUUUCUAAGUUCAAAGAGAGAGAGAGAGAAUAGGGAUAAAGAAGAGAAGAAAUUCCUUUCUGUACAGGGCAGCUUUAAGUAUAACUUCUUGGCGGUGUCUGAAGUGGCAGAGAGAGAAUGGCGUCUGGGAUUUGAUUCUCUGCACUGUGAUUUAAGUUCACUGAACCUUGGUUUCCUCAUCUAUAAAACGAGAAUGUUGUCUUGAAGAGCAGGUGCUUAGUACUAUUAUAGUAAGCAAAGGAGUUCAAUUAAAUUACUUCUUGGGUUUCUUUUAAAUGCCAGAAUUAAAUAAUUGUAAAAUAGAUGAACCAAUUUCCCUUCAAUUGUGAGUAGUUUAAAAUGCCACCGAAGAUGGCAGAAUAAGCCAUUAAAAUGGCUUUUAUAAAACUUUCUUCCUUCUGCUUUUAUCAACUAUAAAUUAAAGCUAUUCUAUUCAUAGUCUAAAGCUGAGGAAAUAAGCUUUUGUAACCUGCCAAUAUUUUCACCCCAGGAAAAUAAUUGUUCUUAGAAAAGCUAAAAUGGUCUGGGCACCAUGGCUGUCGCCUGUAAUCCUAGCACUUUGGGAGGUGGAGUCAGGUGGAUCACCUGAGGUCAGGAGUAUGAGACCAGCCUGGUCAUCAUGGUGAAACCCCAUCUCUACUAAAAAUACAAAAAUUAGCCAGGCGUGGUAGCAGGUGCCUGUAAUCUCAGCUACCCGGGAGGCGGAGGUUGCAGUGAGCUGAGAUUGUGCCAUUGCACUCCAGCCUGGGCAACAAGAGGGAAAUUCCAUCUCAAAAAGAAAAAUAGUAAGAAAAGCUAAAAUAUUCCUAUGCUUAAUCCUACUGUUGGAAGCAUAAAGAAUUGUUAUGUUUCUUGCAUGGGUUUAAAAACCAAGGACUGUUUUCAAAACUUAAAGCAAUGAUCAGGUGCCAUAUAACUGUCAAGUUAUACAUCACCUGAGGACCUUAAUGGAGCACAUAAUAAAUACUAAUUAAUUUAACCAACACCCCUGUGGUAAACGCAUUAUUACCCCUCCUCCCCUUUGAACAGGCAGGGAGACUGAUUCCAUGAGACCAAGCAACUCACCCUGGGGAUGUGUGGAAGAAGUUGCUGAGCCAGAAAAAGGAACCCAAGAGGUUGGAAUCUGAACCCUAUGUAUUUACAACUUAAGGAGAGUCUCGGCCGGGCGCUGUGGCUCACACCUGUAAUCCCAGCACUUUGGGAGGCUGAGGCAGGCGGAUCACGAGGUCAGGGGAUCGAGACCAUCCUGGCUAACACAGUGAAACCCCGUCUCUACUAAAAAAAUUCAAAAAAUCAGCCGGAGUGGUGGCGGGCGCCU